Molecule: long non-coding RNA, 143 nt
Organism: Ornithodoros turicata
Lineage: Eukaryota; Metazoa; Arthropoda; Arachnida; Ixodida; Argasidae
Exons: 2
Source: RefSeq, a predicted model, not a curated record
CUAACACCGAAGAAACUGGACGCUUUGAAAGAGGCAUAUCGGAAGCGUCUGACAGCAAGAGGGGAGAAGGAAGAGGAGAUCACAAAAAAAAUGAAGAAAGUGCGCGAGACGCUAAACGAUAAAAUAAAAAGCUUGAAAAAGUG